GUGAAUCAUCGAAUUUUUGAACGCAAAUUGCACUCUCUGGUAUUCCGGAGAGUAUGCCUGUUUGAGGGACAGUAUAAAUACAAAUCGGUGUGGUUGCCGCCUUUUGUGGUGACGAACGGGAUUUGGGUCGUCUUGCUUUCGGUUAAGUGACCUCAAAUUUUGCAUGAUUUUUUUUGAACUUAUUUAAAUUAUUUUACGUACGUUUGCGAUAUCGAAUACUAGGUGUGGUCAUCUUUAUGA
Molecule: unclassified non-coding RNA, 240 nt
Filed under: Glomeraceae sp.
Lineage: Eukaryota; Fungi; Glomeromycota; Glomeromycetes; Glomerales; Glomeraceae
Description: partial contains 5.8S ribosomal RNA and internal transcribed spacer 2
Rfam family: 5.8S ribosomal RNA (bases 1-71)
Source: RNAcentral